CACUCCUGCGGGAGGCAGCAGUGGGGAAUAUUGCACAAUGGGCGCAAGCCUGAUGCAGCCAUGCCGCGUAUAUGAAGAAGGCCUUCGGGUUGUAAAGUACUUUCAGCGGGGAGGAAGGCGAUAAGGUUAAUAACCUUGUCGAUUGACGUUACCCGCAGAAGAAGCACCGGCUAACUCCGUUCCAGCAGCCGCGGUAAUACGGAGGGUGCAAGCGUUAAUCGGAAUUACUGGGCGUAAAGCGCACGCAGGCGGUCUGUCAAGUCGGAUGUGAAAUCCCCAGGCUCAACCUGGGAACUGCAUUCGAAACUGGCAGGCUAGAGUCUUGUAGAGGGGGGUAGAAUUCCAGGUGUAGCGGUGAAAUGCGUAGAGAUCUGGAGGAAUACCGGUGGCGAAGGCGGCCCCCUGGACAAAGACUGACGCUCAGGUGCGAAAGCGUGGGGAGCAAACAGGAUUAGAUACCCGAGUAGUCCCAUGA
Molecule: ribosomal RNA, 475 nt
Filed under: uncultured organism
Description: partial 16S ribosomal RNA
Rfam family: Bacterial small subunit ribosomal RNA
Source: RNAcentral